This is a long non-coding RNA of Sinocyclocheilus anshuiensis, 416 nucleotides long. RefSeq lists it as uncharacterized. The record is from RefSeq and is a predicted model, not a curated record. NCBI's taxonomy places the organism in Eukaryota, Metazoa, Chordata, Actinopteri, Cypriniformes, Cyprinidae. The transcript has 3 exons.
UCACGCUCGUCUGUUGUUUCGCAGUUAUGCACAGAACACGACGUCCCAGGAUUCAUCAAAUACAAGGUGUUUGACGCCAAACCCAGCUCAAAGACCAUCUCUGGCCUGCUGGAGUUCGACAGUAAGACUCACGCCGUGGAGGUUCUGACGGUCCUCAACCACUAUCAGAUCCGGAUCCCCAACGGUUCAAACCCGUACACACUGAAGCUGUGCUUCUCCACCUCCUCACACCUCUGAGCCGGAGCGACCGACACCAUCGUCUUCAUCUUCAUCAUCACCACCUCCCCUCAGACCCCACUCGCCCUCGGGUUUAGUGCUCUUUAGUUAUUCAUCUGUGAUCUGAUCAAACCAGGAAACACACACUCACACACUCACACACACACACACACACACACACACACACACACACACUCUCU